Molecule: transfer RNA, 85 nt
Filed under: Micromonospora sp. ATA32
Lineage: Bacteria; Bacillati; Actinomycetota; Actinomycetes; Micromonosporales; Micromonosporaceae
Description: tRNA-Ser
Rfam family: tRNA
About the family: Transfer RNA (tRNA) molecules are approximately 80 nucleotides in length.
Source: RNAcentral
GGAAGCGUGGCCGAGUGGCCUAUGGCGCCGUCCUGCUAAGGCGGUGGGGGUGACACCCUCGCGCGUUCGAAUCGCGCCGCUUCCG